CAUGCAGUCGAGGGGCAGCGGGGUGUAGCAAUACACUGCCGGCGACCGGCGCACGGGUGCGUAACGCGUAUGCAACCUACCCAUAACAGGGGCAUAACACUGAGAAAUUGGUACUAAUUCCCCAUAACAUUCGAAGAGGCAUCUCUUUGGGUUGAAAACUCCGGUGGUUAUGGAUGGGCAUGCGUUGUAUUAGCUAGUUGGUGAGGUAACGGCUCACCAAGGCGACGAUACAUAGGGGGACUGAGAGGUUAACCCCCCACAUUGGUACUGAGACACGGACCAAACUCCUACGGGAGGCAGCAGUGAGGAAUAUUGGUCAAUGGACGCAAGUCUGAACCAGCCAUGCCGCGUGCAGGAUGACGGCUCUAUGAGUUGUAAACUGCUUUUGUACGAGGGUAAGCUCACCUACGUGUAGGUGACUGAAAGUAUCGUACGAAUAAGGAUCGGCUAACUCCGUGCCAGCAGCCGCGGUAAUACGGAGGAUUCAAGCGUUAUCCGGAUUUAUUGGGUUUAAAGGGUGCGUAGGCGGUUAGAUAAGUUAGAGGUGAAAUCCCGGGGCUUAACUCCGAAAUUGCCUCUAAUACUGUUUGACUAGAGAGUAGUUGCGGUAGGCGGAAUGUAUGGUGUAGCGGUGAAAUGCUUAGAGAUCAUACAGAACACCGAUUGCGAAGGCAGCUUACCAAACUAUAUCUGACGUUGAGGCACGAAAGCGUGGGGAGCAAACAGGAUUAGAUACCCUGGUAGUCCACGCAGUAAACGAUGAUAACUCGCUGUCGGCGAUACACAGUCGGUGGCUAAGCGAAAGCGAUAAGUUAUCCACCUGGGGAGUACGUUCGCAAGAAUGAAACUCAAAGGAAUUGACGGGGGCCCGCACAAGCGGAGGAACAUGUGGUUUAAUUCGAUGAUACGCGAGGAACCUUACCC
This 924-nucleotide ribosomal RNA is filed under the name uncultured bacterium. RNAcentral describes it as "bacterial SSU rRNA". It matches the Rfam family "Bacterial small subunit ribosomal RNA", at positions 54 to 976 of the family's 1533-position model. The record is from RNAcentral.